CAGCCGCCGCGGGAAUACGAAGGGGGCUAGCGUUGUUCGGAAUCACUGGGCGUAAAGGGUGCGUAGGCGGGCAUUUAAGUCAGGGGUGAAAUCCCGAGGCUCAACCUCGGAACUGCCCUUGAUACUGGGUGUCUUGAGUCCGGAAGAGGUGAGUGGAACUGCGAGUGUAGAGGUGAAAUUCGUAGAUAUUCGCAAGAACACCGGUGGCGAAGGCGGCUCACUGGUCCGGAACUGACGCUGAGGCACGACAGCGUGGGGAGCAAACAGGAUUAGAUACCCCCGUAGUCCCUGUCUCUUAUAC
RNAcentral lists this ribosomal RNA (301 nucleotides) under uncultured bacterium. Its description in RNAcentral is "partial 16S ribosomal RNA". It matches the Rfam family "Bacterial small subunit ribosomal RNA", at positions 509 to 807 of the family's 1533-position model. The record is from RNAcentral.